Molecule: long non-coding RNA, 1600 nt
Organism: Dalotia coriaria
Lineage: Eukaryota; Metazoa; Arthropoda; Insecta; Coleoptera; Staphylinidae
Exons: 2
Source: RefSeq, a predicted model, not a curated record
GAAUUCAGGGAAAUGUUUUAUUUUAGUAAUAAUUUGUUAUUAAUUAAAUAAUUUAGUUAGAAAUUAGUGUUUUAGUUAGAUAUUGACAAAAAUAGAGAAUUUAAAUGUUUAUUUAUCACAGAGAAGAUGAAAAAACGUGAUUUUGAAUAACUUAGAAUCUAUAACCUAACCUAGCAUAUUCUAACAUAACCUAAUUUAAUAAUUACUUAAUAUUUAUAGUGAGAUUUUGUUAAUAAACGCUUAGUUUAACCAAUAAUAACAAUUCUUGAUAAAUAUUGAUGGUUUUUAACAAAUUAAACAAAUAAACAAUUAAAAUUUCUGUAAAAGAAACAAGAAAAUGUAAUAGUUUAGCUAUUAAUCACAAUUUUUCAGUUAAUAAUGGUGAAAUGAAAUUAGUUCGACUCUACCCCAAGGCGCAAAAUGUACGUUAGCAACGGAAGUUUACAAGCAAAGGGCGCUCGUGCGACGGAUAUUAGAGGGGCGCCUGUUGCGCUCUUAUUAAAGGUAAACGCGUCCAUCUGCCUCCAGCUGGUCUUCACGCACCCCGACUUUGUUUGUCAGUAGUCGUCGGAAUCGCACACACGAAUGAUCGUCCCAACUGUUCAAACCGCGCUCAUUUACUAACGGUUUUUUAGUUCGUUUAAAAACUUAAAACAAAGCGCAUUUAAAUGUGCAAAACAUUAAAAUAUAUUUAAAAUAUAAAAGAAUCGUUAUGGAAAGCCAUUGUUCAUACUCCGAUAGCAGAUUCAAAGCCCCAAGUGACGAAACAAGCAAUUGUUACUCAAGUAAAAAAAUGGGAUGCUGUAUAAUCGUCUCAGUUGCUUUAAUAAUUGCAAUUUUAUCACCGACAAUCACCUAUAUUGUGUACAAUGAAUCAAAUAUUAAUCAAGAAGCGCAACAACUUUUACAAGUGAAGCAAGCAGAAGAAAACAAUUAUUUAUUGCAAAUACAGAAUCUCGAGGAUAAAGUCAAGAUUAAACAGGAGACUGAACAGAGAUUAUCGGCGUCUUUAAUGGCGCAAUUGGAGAAAUCAAAAGGGGAGUUAAAAACGCAAGAAGUCAAGUACGAAAAUCAAAUUGAAAGCCUCCAAGAAAAGUAUGAUAAACAAUUGGGUGCGUUGCAGAUAAAACUGAAUGUGCAAAUCGAACAGAAUCGUGUUUAUUACGCACAAAUUGUUCAGUUGCAUAAUGAUCAUCUGAAGGAAAUCGUCACAAUGUUGAAUGAGUUUAAAGAUACUCAAACUAGUUUUGAUGAUGUGGAAAAUUAUGUGAAGAAAUCCAAGGAUAAACUUCAAGUUCGAUGGGAUUUACUUAACAAGGAGAAGGAUAAAAUUGCUGCAACGUUGAAAAAAAUUAAUUCUACUGCCACAGACACGUUUUUGAAGAGGAAUUGAUUAAAUUUGUUUAGUUUUAAUAUUUAUUUUCGCUUUGUUUGUUUCAUGCAAUGUUGGUUGCCUACCUUUGUUAACAAAAUUUCAUUUUAUUUGAAUUUACAACGAUUUCAGUGUUUAACAUUGAAUAAAAUCAUGUAAUUUAUUUAUUUUUAGUUUAUAUUUAGUCUCUAUGGCAUCGUAAACAAAAAUAAAUAAACACCAAUCAAA